This 253-nucleotide ribosomal RNA is filed under the name uncultured bacterium. RNAcentral describes it as "partial 16S ribosomal RNA". It matches the Rfam family "Bacterial small subunit ribosomal RNA", at positions 524 to 776 of the family's 1533-position model. The record is from RNAcentral.
UACAGAGGGUGCUAGCGUUGUUCGGAAUCAUUGGGCGUAAAGGGCGUGUAGGCGGUUUGUUAAGUCAUGUGUGAAAUCCCUCGGCUCAACCGGGGAACGACGCAUGAAACUGGCAAGCUAGAGUACCAAAGAGGGGGGUGGAAUUCCCGGUGUAGCGGUGAAAUGCGUAGAUAUCGGGAAGAACACCUGCGGCGAAGGCGGGUUGCUGGGCUGACACUGACGCUGAGGCGCGAAAGCUGGGGGAGCGAACGGG